AUCUAUUAUCCACUCGACACGGGGAAAAGUAGAGUACGAAAAUAAAUGCACCGACGUGCUUGCUCCGGUUUCUUUCAUGGGAGGAGAGAAGUUUAUCAUUUUGAUGGGUGGUUCGUCGAAGAAUCUAAGUUAACCGAUGCGGGAAAGGGAAACGCGGCAAACGUUGGAGACUUUUGCGGCGUUGCGGUUCGCACGUGACUGUACCAGAAAUAGUUUUUCGCCGUUGGAAUCUUAACGGAUCGACGCCGCGCAGAUUUCCGUAUUCCUUUUUCACUCUGUUCCCCCUUUUCCUUUGUUUCUUUUUGUUUUGUACGCACAGGUCUUUGUACAAAGAAAAAUUCACAAGGCAGGGGGUUGAUCUCGCAGUUGCAUAAUUCGACGAUGAGAACUCUAUAUCGAAAUAGGGAACUUCGCAAUGCUGCAUUUAACAUAAUAAAAUGUUCGCAGAAUAGUUUCAUCUGUACGAAUGCUGCAUCGGAAUAUUAAAUUGGGAUCAUGCUCGUACGCGAAAUACCAGACAGAUCAAGCAGAACGAAACGAAAUUUCAUAUAUGGCGAAGUUUAAGCAAAAAGUUGCGAUGGAAGCUAUUAAACACGGAUGCACGGAAUAGGUGGUGUAUUACGUGUACGCAAUUCUUGCGCACGAGGAUACCGUUACAAAGAUAAACGUCGGUUUAAUGGAAUAUUUGCCCCUGCGUCUGUCAUAAAGAAACUAUGCAUUCUUUCAAGUA
This is a long non-coding RNA of Bombus huntii, 730 nucleotides long. RefSeq lists it as uncharacterized. The record is from RefSeq and is a predicted model, not a curated record. Lineage: Eukaryota; Metazoa; Arthropoda; Insecta; Hymenoptera; Apidae. The transcript has 2 exons.